GAUGAACGCUGGCGGCGUGCCUAAUACAUGCAAGUCGAGCGAACAGACGCGGAGCUUGCUCCUCUGACGUUAGCGGCGGACGGGUGAGUAACACGUGGAUAACCUACCUAUAAGACUGGGAUAACUUCGGGAAACCGGAGCUAAUCCGGGAUAAUAUAUUGAACCGCAUGGUUCAAUAGUGAAAGACGGUUUUGCUGUCACUUAUAGAUGGAUCCGCGCCGCAUUAGCUAGUUGGUAAGGUAACGGCUUACCACGGCGACGAUGCGUAGCCGACCGGAGAGGUGGAUAGGCCGCACGGGAACUGGGACGCGGUCCAGGGUCCUACGGGAGGCAGCAGUAGGGAAUCGGCGGCAAUGGGGGAGAGCCUGACGGAGCAGGGCCGCGUGAGUGAUGGAGGUCUUCGGAGCGUAAUACUCUGUUAUUGGGUGAGAACAAAUGUGUAAGUAGCUAUGCACGUAUUGACGGUACCUAGUCAGAAAGCCACGGCUAACUACGUG
RNAcentral lists this ribosomal RNA (497 nucleotides) under uncultured bacterium. RNAcentral's name for it is "partial 16S ribosomal RNA". It matches the Rfam family "Bacterial small subunit ribosomal RNA", at positions 28 to 507 of the family's 1533-position model. The record is from RNAcentral.